AUACGUAGGGCGCGAGCGUUGUCCGGAAUUACUGGGUGUAAAGGGAGCGUAGGCGGGAGUGCAAGUCAGAUGUGAAAUGCAUGGGCUUAACCCAUGAGCUGCAUUUGAAACUGCAUUUCUUGAGUGAAGUAGAGGUAAGCGGAAUUCCUGGUGUAGCGGUGAAAUGCGUAGAUAUCAGGAGGAACACCGGUGGAGAAGGCGGCUUACUGGGCUUUUACUGACGCUGAGGCUCGAAAGCGUGGGGAGCAAACAGGAUUAGAUACCCUGGUAGUCCACGCUGUAAACGAUGAUUACUAGGUGUGGGGGGACUGACCCCUUCCGUGCCGCAGUUAACACAAUAAGUAAUCCACCUGGGGAGUACGGCCGCAAGGUUGAAACUCAAAUGAAUUGACGGAG
This 396-nucleotide ribosomal RNA is filed under the name uncultured bacterium. Its description in RNAcentral is "partial 16S ribosomal RNA". It matches the Rfam family "Bacterial small subunit ribosomal RNA", at positions 523 to 918 of the family's 1533-position model. The record is from RNAcentral.